GGCACCCUCGGGAGGCAGCAGUGAGGGAUAUUGCACAAUGGGGGGAACCCUGAUGCAGCGACGCCGCGUGGGUGAAGAAGCGCCUCGGCGCGUAAAGCCCUGUCAGCAGGGAAGAAAAUGACGGUACCUGAAGAAGAAGCCCCGGCUAACUACGUGCCAGCAGCCGCGGUAAUACGUAGGGGGCAAGCGUUAUCCGGAUUUACUGGGUGUAAAGGGGGCGCAGACGGCGAUGCAAGCCAGGAGUGAAAGCCCGGGGCCCAACCCCGGGACUGCAUUUGGAACUGUAAGGCUAGAGUGUCGGAGAG
Molecule: ribosomal RNA, 305 nt
Filed under: uncultured bacterium
Lineage: Bacteria
Description: bacterial SSU rRNA
Rfam family: Bacterial small subunit ribosomal RNA
Source: RNAcentral